UUUUUUUUUGUUUUUUUCCGACUUUUUUUUUGGAAUUUUUUUUUUUUUGGGAAUUUUUUUUUCCUUUUUAGAAUUUUUUUCCCCAUUUUUUUUCCAGGCAUAUUUUUUUUUUUUGGGAAUUCUUUUUUUGGGAAUUUUUCCUUUUCCAGGAAUUUUUUUUCCCAUCCUUUUCUCCCAAUUUUUUUUCCUGUGAAUUUUUUUUCCUGGGAUUUUUUAUUCCUGGGAUUUUUUAUUUCUGGGAUUUUUUUCCUUCUGGGAAUUUUUCUUUUUCCAGAUUUUUUAUUUCCAGGACUUUUGUUUUUCCCCAUUUUUUCUCCAAUUUUUUUUCCUGUGAAUUUUUAUUUCUGGGAUUUUUUUUCUGGGAAUCUUUCCAGGAAUUUUUUUUCCAGAUUUUUUUUCCCAUUUUUUCCCCCAUUUUUUUUCCUUUUCCAGGCAUUUUUUCCCAGGAAUUUUUCCCAUUUUUCCCCCAUUUCCUUUCCCCCCCAAAUUUUUUAUUUUAUUUUUUUUUUCCUUUUCCAGGCAUUUUUUUUUCUGGGAAUUUUUUCUCCGGGAUUUUUUUUUAUACACAAUUUUCCUCCACCCUGUUUCCUUUUCUUCCAAGAAUUCCACGUUUUUCCCGAGAAUUCCUCCUUUUUUCCUGGGAAUUCCAUGUUUUUUCCUAGGAAUUUCAGUUUUUUCCUGGGAAUUUUGUGGUUUUUUCCAAAAAUUCCACAUUUUUCCCAAAAAUUCUGCGUCUUUUCCUGAGAAAUCU
This 751-nucleotide long non-coding RNA is filed under the name Cyanistes caeruleus (blue tit). Its description in RNAcentral is "lncRNA (ENSCCEG00000005289.1)". The record is from RNAcentral. Lineage: Eukaryota; Metazoa; Chordata; Aves; Passeriformes; Paridae.